RNAcentral lists this ribosomal RNA (464 nucleotides) under uncultured bacterium. RNAcentral describes it as "partial 16S ribosomal RNA". It matches the Rfam family "Bacterial small subunit ribosomal RNA", at positions 339 to 795 of the family's 1533-position model. The record is from RNAcentral.
CUACGGGGUGCUCCAGUGAGGAAUUUUGCGCAAUGGGGGAAACCCUGACGCAGCAACGCCGCGUGAGUGAAGAAGGCUUUCGGGUCGUAAAGCUCUGUCAGAUAGGAAAAAAGUUCAUAUGUAAAUAGCUUAUGAAUCUGAUGGUACUAUCAGAGGAAGCACCGGCUAAGUCCGUGCCAGCAGCCGCGGUAAUACGGAGGGUGCAAGCGUUGUUCGGAAUUACUGGGCGUAAAGGGCGUGUAGGCGGGAUGGUAAGUCAGAUGUGAAAGCCCUGGGCUUAACUCAGGAAGUGCAUUUGAUACUGCCAUCCUUGAGUAUGGGAGAGGAGAGGAGAAUUCCCAGUGUAGAGGUGAAAUUCGUAGAUAUUGGGAGGAAUACCCGUGGCGAAGGCGACUCUCUGGACCAAUACUGACGCUGAGACGCGAAAGCGUGGGGAGCAAACAGGAUUAGAUACCCCGGUAGUC